GUUACCAGCACGUUAUGGUGGGCACUCUAAGGAGACUGCCGGUGACAAACCGGAGGAAGGUGGGGAUGACGUCAAGUCAUCAUGGCCCUUAUGUCCAGGGCGACACACGUGCUACAAUGGUCGGUACAAAGGGUUGCCAAGCCGCGAGGUGGAGCUAAUCCCAUAAAACCGAUCGUAGUCCGGAUCGCAGUCUGCAACUCGACUGCGUGAAGUCGGAAUCGCUAGUAAUCGUGAAUCAGAAUGUCACGGUGAAUACGUUCCCGGGCCUU
RNAcentral lists this ribosomal RNA (269 nucleotides) under uncultured Pseudomonas sp. Its description in RNAcentral is "partial 16S ribosomal RNA". It matches the Rfam family "Bacterial small subunit ribosomal RNA", at positions 1114 to 1382 of the family's 1533-position model. The record is from RNAcentral. Lineage: Bacteria; Pseudomonadati; Pseudomonadota; Gammaproteobacteria; Pseudomonadales; Pseudomonadaceae.